This 480-nucleotide ribosomal RNA is filed under the name uncultured bacterium. RNAcentral's name for it is "bacterial SSU rRNA". It matches the Rfam family "Bacterial small subunit ribosomal RNA", at positions 30 to 504 of the family's 1533-position model. The record is from RNAcentral.
CGAACGCUGGCGGCGUGCUUAACACAUGCAAGUCUACGAGAAUAAGGUAGCAAUAUCUUUAGUAAAGUGGCGCACGGGUGCGUAACACGUAAGCAAUCUACCUUUGGGUCUGGAAUAACUUCGAGAAAUCGAGGCUAAUACCGGAUAAUGCAGCGGCACCGCAUGGUGAUGUUGUUAAAGUUUGAGUAAUGCCUAUAGAUGAGCUUGCGCCUGAUUAGCUAGUUGGUAGGGUAAAGGCCUACCAAGGCUACGAUCAGUAGCUGGUCUGAGAGGAUGAUCAGCCACACUGGAACUGAGACACGGUCCAGACUCCUACGGGAGGCAGCAGUGAGGAAUAUUGGGCAAUGCCCGCAAGGGUGACCCAGCAACGCCGCGUGGAGGAUGAAGGCCGUAAGGUUGUAAACUCCUGUUAGAGGAGAAGAACAGUACCGAUUGGAUCGGUAUUUGACUGUACCCUCAGAGAAAGCCCCGGCUAACUAC